AGCUCCAGUAGCGUAUACUAAAGUUGUUGCAGUUAAAAAGCUCGUAGUUGGAUUUCUGUCAAGACGAGGCUGACCCGCCCCUCUUUAGGUGUUGUGUGUGUCGGUUUACUUGUCUGACAUCUUUCCAGGAAAUGGUUACCUUACCGUUUAUUCGGCCGGGGUUUCUCAGGAACUGGGACGUUUACUUUGAAAAAAUUAGAGUGUUCAAAGCAGGCUUGCGCAAUUGAAUACAUUAGCAUGGAAUAAUAAUUUAGGACUUUGGUUCUAUUUUGUUGGUUUCUAGGACUGAAGUAAUGAUUGAUAGGGAGAAUUGGGGGCGCUAGUAUUCAGGGGCCAGAGGUGAAAUUCUUAUAUUCCCUGAAGACUAACCAAAGCGAAAGCUCUCGCCAAACGUCUCUUC
RNAcentral lists this ribosomal RNA (400 nucleotides) under phytoplankton environmental sample. RNAcentral's name for it is "partial small subunit ribosomal RNA". It matches the Rfam family "Eukaryotic small subunit ribosomal RNA", at positions 587 to 971 of the family's 1831-position model. The record is from RNAcentral.